This 2251-nucleotide long non-coding RNA is filed under the name Mus musculus (house mouse). RNAcentral's name for it is "long non-coding RNA chr8:76994484-76996735". The record is from RNAcentral. Lineage: Eukaryota; Metazoa; Chordata; Mammalia; Rodentia; Muridae.
ACACACACACACAUUCACACACAAAUACACAUAUGUUUCAAAUGUGAUUUGAAAGCUUGGUUCUGUAUGUAACUUAACCACAUUCUUAAAAAUUCUAAACAGAAAUGAUUAAUCCCUUUAAUGUACCAUAUGCUUAUAGAAUAUUUUUUAAGUUUCUUUAGCAGAAAGAGUCACAUUGCCAUGGUGUGUAUACUGCUGAAACCACCCCGCUUUGUGAUGGCGUGGUAUUGCUUGCCUUUCCUUCCCGCUCAUUACUUUGCAGUAAGAGUUGUUAACACACAGAGCGGAGUAGACCACCAAAGAGCCUACCUUGUUAGUACAUACAGCACGUGAAUCUUACAGCGCUCACAGACUAUGGACUCCGGCUGUGUUACACUCAUCCAAGUUUCAGUCAAAUUGUAUUUUGCAGUUUGGGUUUAAAGAAGAAAACAUAAGGCAAAAUGUAGUAUAUUGUAUAGCAUUUUUAUGUAUUCAUGCCUAUGUAAAUAAAUUGUGUUUAUUAAAUAAUUCAUUUAAUUUUCCUAAAUUGCUCUUGAACAUGCUUCAUGCUAAAUAAGUAAAAUGAUAGCAAGGUUUAACGUAAAGAAGGUGAAAAAUGCCUUUGUAUCACCAAGAAUUUACUAAAUGGCUUAGGCUAAGCUUUCUGUAUGUUUUGUUUUUCCCUGUAAGAACAGACUUAGCAAACUGAGCUUGUUCUCAGCCACUACCACUAAGAAUCUCUUUUCCGUUUCUUCGCCAUUACUUAUUGCUUAGAUUUGAACUUGACCAUUCCAUCCUGUGCCACAUUGCCCAGGGUCUCAUCCCCACCCACCCUCCUGAUUUUCUCAUUGCUAUGCUCACCUGCUUGCAGCCUCUGGUAAAUUAUUGAGGACAGCCCAGUGGGUGGGUUGACCUCUUCUGUCUAUAGUAUCACCAUCCUUAUAAGGCUUAUCAAUUUUUUAAAAGAAGGUUUGGCUAAGCCUCUAGAUUAUCAGUAACACUGUGUAUGGCUAUGUGACAGGGCUUCAUGUUUCUCAAAGGAGCUAGGGAUGCCAACAUAAGGGAAAUGAAGAGAUGGAUUCUGACUUUUGUUUUCUUUUCUUUUUUCUUUUUCCUUUUUUUCCCUCUUUUCUUUUAUUUUCCUUUCCUUUCCUUCCUUUCCUUUCCUUUCUUUCCUUUCCUUCCCUUUUCUUUUCUUUUCUUUUCUUUUCUUUUCUUUCCUGAUUCUCAUUGAUUCCACCAUACAUUCUGUUCUGGGGAAAUAAAAAUCUCCAAACUCAUCAGAUCAAAAAAGACACAAUGAGACUAAUUCAUGCGGGCACGUAUAAAAUGUGUUAUUCAUUUGUUUACACUGUAAUUGUCUUUGAAAUGUCUGCUCUUUUGGAGUGAUAGAACCAGAGUUCACUAGAAUCCCUUUGUUUUAGAGCUGGCACAGAUCCUAAGUAGGACCCGAGUGGAUGUUGCCUUGCCCACUGUGGGUGCUAAAUUCUAUCUUCUAUCAGGAACACCUGAAGAACCAUGUGGUAUAGACUACCAAAAAAAUGUUAUACAGAUUAUAAAUAUUCAUAGUGUUAGCUUUAUAUAUAUGCAAAGUAGGUGAAGUGAACAUUUUUAUCAAGUAUUGAGUGUAGUUACAGGAAUGGGAGCUUAUAGAGAUUUUCUCAAAGCAUCCUGGAAUUACAGAUUUAUGCUAUCAGGACUGGCUUUAAGUGGGUUCUUGAGUUUUAAACACCAUAGCUCAGUAUUUUCAUCAUAAAUCAGAAUUAAAUUUGUGAUUAUAAUUAAAUUAUACUUGAAAGCAAUCAUAAUUUUUAAAUAGAAAAAAGUCAGUAUAAUAAAGAUAUAGUAAUUUCACAGAAAUGGUUAAUGUUAAGUAAAAGAAGGACUUUGGGUGGAGGCCUCCUUGUACUUAGUGUCACAGAGUCCAGAAGUUCGCUUAGUUUCUCCCAAGAACACACCUACAAGCUUAGGAGAGAGCAGUCAUUUUUAUUUGCCUAACUGAAGUUAUAAGUUAUGGGAAGACAUCUGGUUUAUGGGUGCUUAUGGUUUAGCUUCAGGUUAAUAGUCUUCUGCAUAAGAAACUAUAAGUUGGAUAAAGGAUUAAAUCCUCUUCAGAGGAAGGGGAGGCCUGGGACAUUAAACCCAUGGGCACCUUUUCAGUAGAGUCCAAGGGCUUGUCUCCAAUUAUGAUGAUGCUCCUAAUAUAGAAAUGAAAGGAUUCAUAUUUUUAAAAUUUACAAAUGAAGAUUUAAGAACCAUUCUUGAUUCAUAC